Molecule: ribosomal RNA, 876 nt
Filed under: uncultured crenarchaeote
Lineage: Archaea; Thermoproteati; Thermoproteota
Description: bacterial SSU rRNA
Rfam family: Archaeal small subunit ribosomal RNA
Source: RNAcentral
ACCUGACUGCUAUCGGAUUGAUACUAAGCCAUGCGAGUCUUUGUAGUAAUACAAGGCAUACGGCUCAGUAACGCGUAGUCAACCUACCCUAUGGACAAGAAUAAUCUCGGGAAACUGAGCAUAAUUCUUGAUAGAUCAUAAUGCCUGGAAUGGUUUAUGGUUAAAAUGAUUCGUCGCCAUAGGAUGGGACUGCGGCCUAUCAGCUUGUUGGUGAGGUAAUGGCCCACCAAGGCGAUAACAGGUACGGGCUCUGAGAGGAGAAGCCCGGAGAUGGGUACUGAGACAAGGACCCAGGCCCUAUGGGGCGCAGCAGGCGAGAAAACUUUGCAAUGUGCGAAAGCACGACAAGGUUAGUCCGAGUGAUUUCUGCUAAAGAGAUCUUUUGCUAGUUAUAAAACCACUAGUGAAUAAGGGGUGGGCAAGUUCUGGUGUCAGCCGCCGCGGUAAAACCAGCACCUCAAGUGGUCAGGAUGAUUAUUGGGCCUAAAGCAUCCGUAGCCGGCUCUGUAAGUUUUCGGUUAAAUCCAUACGCUCAACGUAUGGGCUGCCGAAAAUACUGCAGAGAUAGGGAGUGGGAGAGGUAGACGGUACUCGGUAGGAAGGGGUAAAAUCCUUUGAACUAUCGAUGACCACCUGUGGCGAAGGCGGUCUACCAGAACACGUUCGACGGUGAGGGAUGAAAGCUGGGGGAGCAAACCGGAUUAGAUACCCGGGUAGUCCCAGCUGUAAACGAUGCAGACUCGAUGAUGCAUUGGCAUAUAGCCAGUGCAGUGUCGCAGGGAAGCCGUUAAGUCUGCCGCCUGGGAAGUACGUACGCAAGUAUGAAACUUAAAGGAAUUGGCGGGGGAGCACCACAAGGGGUGAAGCCUGCGGUUC